UGGGGAAUUUUGCACAAUGGGCGCAAGCCUGAUGCAGCGACGCCGCGUGAGGGAUGAAGGCCUUCGGGUUGUAAACCUUUUUCGCUCAUGGUCAAGCCGCAGCUUUGGGUUGUGGUGAGGGUAGUGGGUAAAGAAGCGCCGGCUAACUACGUGCCAGCAGCCGCGGUAAUAUGUAGGGCGCGAGCGUUGUCCGGAAUUAUUGGGCGUAAAGGGCUUGUAGGCGGUUGGCCGCGUCUGCCGUGAAAUCCUCUGGCUUAACUGGGGGCGGGCGGUGGGUACGGGUUGACUUGAGUGCGGUAGGGGAGACUGGAGUUCCUGGUGUAGCGGUGGAAUGCGCAGAUAUCAGGAGGAAGACCGGUGGCGAAGGCGGGUCUCUGGGCCGUUACUGACGCUGAGGAGCGAAAGCGUGGGGAGCGAACAGG
Molecule: ribosomal RNA, 422 nt
Filed under: Verrucomicrobiota bacterium
Lineage: Bacteria; Pseudomonadati; Verrucomicrobiota
Description: Verrucomicrobia bacterium partial 16S ribosomal RNA
Rfam family: Bacterial small subunit ribosomal RNA
Source: RNAcentral